This 253-nucleotide ribosomal RNA is filed under the name uncultured microorganism. Its description in RNAcentral is "partial 16S ribosomal RNA". It matches the Rfam family "Bacterial small subunit ribosomal RNA", at positions 524 to 776 of the family's 1533-position model. The record is from RNAcentral.
UACGUAGGGGGCGAGCGUUACCCGGAUUCACUGGGCGUAAAGCGGGUGUAGGCGGCUCGGUAAGUCGGGUGUGAAAUCCCACAGCUCAACUGUGGAAUUGCGCCCGAAACUGCUGAGCUUGGGGCCGGUAGAGGGAGACGGAACUGCCGGUGUAGGGGUGAAAUCCGUAGAUAUCAGCAGGAACGCCGGUGGAGAAGUCGGUCUCCUGGGCCGUUCCUGACGCUGAGGCCCGAAAGCUAGGGGAGCAAACCGG